GCAAGUCGAACGGAAACAUGUCUAGCUUGCUAGAUGAUGUCGAGUGGCGGACGGGUGAGUAAUGCCUGGGAAUUUGCCUUUGUGUGGGGGAUAACUAUUGGAAACGAUAGCUAAUACCGCAUAAUACCUACGGGUCAAAGGGGGGACUUGUCCUCUCGCGCAUUGAGAAGCCCAGGUGAGAUUAGCUAGUUGGUGAGGUAAAGGCUCACCAAGGCGACGAUCUCUAGCUGUUCUGAGAGGAAGAUC
Molecule: ribosomal RNA, 246 nt
Filed under: uncultured bacterium
Lineage: Bacteria
Description: partial 16S ribosomal RNA
Rfam family: Bacterial small subunit ribosomal RNA
Source: RNAcentral